UACGUAGGGUGCAAGCGUUGUCCGGAAUCACUGGGUGUAAAGGGUCCGUAGGCGGAUAAGCAAGUCGAUGGUGAAAUCCUGUGGCUCAACCACAGAACUGCCUUCGAUACUGCUUAUCUUGAGUUCGAGAGAGGGUAAUGGAAUUCAUGGUGUAGCGGUGAAAUGCGUAGAGAUCAUGAAGAACACCAGUAGCGAAGGCGGUUACCUGGCUCGAUACUGACGCUUAGGGACGAAAGCGUGGGGAGCAAACAGG
RNAcentral lists this ribosomal RNA (253 nucleotides) under uncultured bacterium. Its description in RNAcentral is "partial 16S ribosomal RNA". It matches the Rfam family "Bacterial small subunit ribosomal RNA", at positions 524 to 776 of the family's 1533-position model. The record is from RNAcentral.